This is a non-coding RNA of Callorhinus ursinus (northern fur seal), 311 nucleotides long. The record is from RefSeq and is a predicted model, not a curated record. Lineage: Eukaryota; Metazoa; Chordata; Mammalia; Carnivora; Otariidae.
AAGCUUCCGCGCAGCCAGAGCCCUAGUCAGGCCGCUUCGGAGGACGAGCAUGGCGGGGCUUCGAGCGCUGCGAAGGCCAGCCAGCCGGUCCAGCUCAUGCAGAUCUACAGAAGGAAGGAGGAGAGGUGGAUCGAAUGCUGUCCCCGCUGAGUAGGAAAGAGGCAGUAGCUCUACAUGUAAACUCUAGAUGCUUAUAUUUUGGUGACAUUCCUGGAUACAUUAGUGGACGCAAUGUUUUGCAGUUGAAAGUGAAGUGAAGUACCAGUGAUAUUUUAAAACCUUUUAUUAAUAAAUGCAAUUAUUUUCUAAAA